Molecule: long non-coding RNA, 13147 nt
Organism: Ahaetulla prasina
Lineage: Eukaryota; Metazoa; Chordata; Lepidosauria; Squamata; Colubridae
Exons: 3
Source: RefSeq, a predicted model, not a curated record
AUCUGAAUCCACAUUUGCUUCCAAGAAUGUUCUAUUUUUCUAGCCUGAUGAUUAUAGCUGGUAAAACACACAACUAAAACACACCAUUAUAGAGCAUCUACAAAUAUACAGAGGAUAAGGAUACAAAAAUGCUUAAAGGAGGAGGCAAAUCUUAUUUUAAAAAUAGUUUUAUUUUAUGCAAAUCUCUUUUCAAACAGCUAAAAAUUCUGACCCUGAGUUGAUUGGCCAUAUAUGCAGCACUGGUAAUAUAACAUAUGAUUCUCUCUUUGGAAAUGUUUUCUUUCAUGUGACUACAACUACAUUCUCUUAUUGUCAUAAUUCUACUACAGAUUCAUGGUUUUACCUUUUCAGAUAUUUAUUGUCUUUUUAACAUUAUCUUAGAUGAAUUGAAAGUCGCUAGAUCUUGGAUAUAAUAAUAGUGAUUAAUCCGACCCUCUUAUUUAUCCAUCCAUCUCUGCAACAUGCAUCAGUAUUAUCAAAGCUCAUUUUCCCCAACCUGACAUCCUUUCAGAUGCCUUGAGACUGGAGAAUUCAGUUCCACCAGAGAAGAGGCAGAAGCUUCCAGGCAGAAGCAGCUGCCAGGAUGCUGAAACUCAGAGAAAAGGGCUCCAAACAUUUGGAGGACAAAUCACAAGAAAGCAAUGGAAAGGGGGAGGGCUCAUAUGUCAUACCAUUUAUACUCUUGAAAUGAGUUGGGAUUAAAAUUCUGAAUUUCUCUGUGUUAUGGAUUUGUUGCUUGGAAAGUCUGGGGAUAGGUAAGGAAUGUACCUUUGAACAUGGCAAACUUUAAUACAGGUAUAGUUAUCACUUCAAAUGUUUUUUUCUCAUACAUUAAACAAAAAGAGAUUAAUUGCUGCUGCACUUUUGGUUCACUUUUAUCAGAAUGUCUGUGCAUUUAGUAACAUUCAUACAACCUCUGCUUAAAUACUUGAGUUUUUCUUUCAUCUCUGACCUCUUUCAGCUCAGGUAAAAAAUAAUGCAGAAUUCUGUGACCUGGAUCUGUUACAGUUAAUGUGACAAAUUAAGGUAAAGAGGCAUAAAAAUGCAAUGACACUCUUUGUUUUUCAAGGAACAUUGGAGACAAGAUAAGUAAAGCCCCAUGGCAAUGUAAUUAUUUUAGUUAGAAAAUAAAUCAGUUGUGCAAGAUGAGUUGCAGUUACAUAUUUGAUCAGAAUUAUAAACUGCAAUGAAAAUGCAAGAGCAGACACUGUUGAAUGUCUCUUACAGAUAACCAUUAGUUUAGACAUUUUAAAAAGUCUUAAUAAAUUAUUUCAUGUUUUAAGCAUACACCUGCCUAUCCACUGGAGCCUCAGUUGCAACUAUGUUUGUAGUUUUACCAUAUUAAAUAUGCAAGUUUUCAUAAAUAUACACAAUUAUGGCAAUUUUUCCAGCAGUUUUAAUCUACUCUGUUAGCUGUGAUACUGGAAGGACAGCAUGAUAACAUUUUCACAGCCAAGAGCUUUUCAUAAGCUCUUAAUGAUGGUUACUGGCUGUAGUUUGAAAAUUCUACAUGGGGGAGAAUGGGGGACUAAUAAUCGACCUUAACUCAGAAGCUAGGAAUUGUGUUAUAUAAAUAUGCUACCUAUUUAUGCAGUGAAAUCAAAUUUAGCAGAUGUUUAUUCAACUGAUUUGAUGAGUUGAAUAGUUAAUUAACACUGUUUAUUCAAGGAAAAUCAAGCUUUUUAAACAGGGAUUGUGCAAUUAACUAGAAAGACCAAAAACAAGUUUGCCUACAUUCCAGAUAUAUGGUUCACUGGACUGGAUUGGACAGGACUGGACCUUUAUUGUCACUUUAAAUGUACACUAAUGCAUACAUUAAAAUGAAUUUUCAUUUCAUUCAUCUCUCAAAAGAUAACCAUUAUGCCUAUACUUAUAUAGACACACAUAUAUGACACAGAGAAACAUUGCAGUCUUGUUUGAAUAAAUAGAUAUAUAUGGAGAGAGGAAAAAAAAGAAUCCUGAAAAUUUAGAAUACAGAAAGCAUAAGGAACAAAGCUAUUAGAUUUAAAUUAGACUCUCAAGCCUCCAUUUUGCAGCCUUCAGAACUCCACUGUCAUAUCAUUGCUGAAACUAUGCCACAGUUUACAGUAAGGAAUGAAUAUGUGCUCAAAGAAGUAAAAAUAGCUGUGUACAUUUAUUAUCAUGCUGUUACAACAAGUGUGUACAAGUGUGCUGUUACACUCAAGAAUGAAUAGCAUAUAAAAGAAUGUAGAUGAACAUAGGUGUAAAUGACACUAUGUAAGAAAUAUGGACAUGCAGAAAAAAUGAGUUGGGGUUGUGUCAUAAAACAAAUAAAUGAAGAAUGACUGAACUUGUUCAGAAGAAGGGAAACAUGCAGAAAGCUGGAGUUGGGUAGAACUGGUGAGAACCCCAGAAAGACAAAGAUGAGAGAGAUAUAAAAAGGCAUACAGUUGUGGUGGCAGCAAGCACUGUUUGCAAAGGAUUGAACGUAUGUAAGGUAUUGUAAAUGGUGUUCAAUUUAAAUUAGAUAUAGUUUAAUUUAGCUGUACUUUGUAUCCCCUCAUUUUAUCCCUUUAAAUGUAUUUUGCUUAUGAGUGUUUAUUGUUUUCUACACUUUGGAUAAAGUUGUUUACUCCUAAAAGGAAUAAUAAGAUGGAUGCAUGUAUGGUUCAGUUCCAUAUGUUCGGGACUUUAAAGUGGAGCCAGGAAAAAAGAAAAAAGUUUGAUGCAAGUUGUUUAAAUCUGAUUUAGGGGCACAUAGUGCCUAUGUGGCAAUUCAUAGUGAAUAGAAAAUAAGUGAUCUUAUGCUUCUCCAGAACAUUCAAAACACAAGACAAGAUAAUUGUUGGUCUAUGGUCUGAAUUACGGAUGAAUCAACAAUGGGGUAUUUGAUCCAAUUUUAAUUUUUGGUUCUUGCUGCCAGACUUGCCUGCAUUUUCUCCUCAAAUACACCUCUGUCUGCCAGUGCUUAUUUGUUCCCCAACUCAGCUUUCAAAUAUUCUGAGACCAAGCCAAUAAAAUGUAAUUGUUUUUGCAGAUUAUGUGUUUUGAAGUUAACUCUGCAGAUGCUGAAAAAAAAAGUGGAAAGGGGCUCUUUUUCCUGGGGAAGAUAAAGCUUGUAGCUGCAAAAUACAUUUUAACGGCAAUCUUAAAGGAUGAAUUAAUACAAUCAGCUGGUAAAUUGGUUGUCAGCUCAAAAGACAAAUGAAUGCAGGAUGGACAAGAAGUCCUUUUCCCAACCAUAAGCAGAAAUAACCCCUUUCCAAACUUUCAGGCCUCUUGGACACUGAAAAAUGGUUAAGUACUGGAUGAUAAGAGGAAGUGAAUAUUGUGCCUCAAUUCAAACUGCAAAAGAGGAACCAGGAAAUUAAAGACAAAUCAGUCCGACAUUGCCCCUGGAAAAACACUCAAGCAGCUCCUACUAUGACAUGUAAUACCUCAUUAGAAUGUGAGAAAAAUAUAGACAUAAUGUAUACACUUUCAGCAAAGAAUCAUCAUGAGACAGGACAUUCUGACAGCAAGCUAGUUAAGUAUGACAUAUUUAUCAGGUGGUUGUACAGCUGCUUGAAAACUACCCCAAAGCGUAAUUUUCACCAAACUGGAGUGAGAUAAGACAUAAGAACUAAGACAUAAGAACUAAGAUUUGAUUAUAGGCCUGGUUAUGAUCAAUAUUUUUAUUAAAUAAGAUAAAGAAAUCGAAAGAAUACUUAUCACAGCUAAAGACAUGCAACUGGGUGUGAUAAAUAUACUUUAGAACAGGGUCCCUAAACUCUUUAGUUUAGUGACCCCUUCAUGAAGCUUCAAAUUAUUCAUCAACCCACAAGACAUUUAUAAUAUAAAUAUUAUUUAAUAAUUACUAAUUAAAUUAAUAAUACUAUAAUGUAGAAUGAAUUGUCCCAUUGACCCUUGGGGUUGAUAUUGACCACUUUGUAGAACCUUACUUUAGAAGAUAGAAACAACAUUCAGAAUCACUACAAUGGAUUACAGAAAGUAAUACAGUAAUAUAAAUUAUACAUAAAUUGAAAGUUAUUCAAAAGAAAUGAAAUACAUAGUAUAGUAUAGAAUAUUUGAUUUAAUAAUAGGAACUUGGAAUUGUAAUUGAACACAACCUGACUGCAAAUCAACAAUGUUUUACAAUGUGCUAAAAAACAAAUGUACAUUUUUGGAUGAAACAAUAUAAUUUCCAAAUUAUAUACGGGUAGAUUUCUACUGCGUAUUGUGCUGCUCAAACCCACUAGAGUUCUGGACACCACAUUCUAAAAGAAAUUCUAAAAAAUUGAAGCCAGCUGGGUGACCUUAGGGCAGUUACUCUCCCUCUCCCUCAGCUGUAGGAAAAAGGCAAUGGCAAACCACUUCUGAAACCUUGCCAAGGAAACUGCAGGGAUUAGAUCAGGGAGUUCCCAGGUGUCAACAAUGACUAGAAAGCACAGGCACACGCACAUAGAGACACAAAGUUAUAUAGGAAGACAGAUUGCAGCCAGAUAGAUAGAUAGAUAGAUAGAUAGAUAGAUAGAUAGAUAGAUAGAUAGAUAGAUAGAUUACUACAAUGGAAAUAAACUCCCAUUCACUGGAUGUAUCAAAGCUAUAGGAGCAAUAAUUUCUGAACUGACUUAAAACCUAAUCAUUUUAGUUCCUCUUCUGGUACUGCCUCAAACCAAUGUCUUGAAUUAUAUGGUGAAAAUAAAAACAAAUAAACCAACUUCUAGAAAGGUUCUCUUCUGUUUGGAUUCACUCCUAAGAGUAGGUUAAAAACAGGCAUCUUAUUAUUGUUUGGAUUAAAAGCUGAACAUCACUCUACUUCCCUUAUGCAAUAAUCGCCUGGAUUAUUGCAAUGCUCUCUACAUGGGGCUCCCCUUGAGGGGCAUCCGGAGGCUCCAGUUAGUUCAGAAUGCAGCUGCGCGGGUGAUAGAGGGAGCCCCUCGUGGCUCCCGUGUUACACCUAUCCUGCGCAGACUGCACUGGCUACCUGUGGCCUUCCGGGUGCGCUUCAAGGUGCUGGUGACAAUCUUUAAAGCGCUCCAUGGCAUAGGGCCGGGCUAUUUACGGGACCGCCUACUGCUACCAAAUACCUCUCACCGACCCGUGCGCUCUCACAGAGAGGGACUCCUCAGGGUGCCGUCAGCUAGGCAGUGCUGUCUGGCGACACCCAGGGGAAGGGCCUUCUCUGUGGGGGCUCCCACCCUCUGGAACGAACUCCCUCCAGGACUUCGCCAACUUCCGGACCUCCGAACCUUUCGUCGCGAGCUUAAAACACACUUAUUUAUCUGCGCGGGACUGGAUUAGAUUUUAAAGUUAUGGGUUUUAAGGGGUUUUUAUUAUUUAUACUAUUUUAAAUUUGGGGCAAUAGAAUAAGUUUUUAAAUUGUUUUUUAAUCUGUAUUUAUAUGUAUUUUAACUGCCUGUGAACCGCCCUGAGUCCUUAGGGAGAUAGGGCGGUAUAUAAAUUUGAAAAAUAAAUAAAAUAAAUAAAUAAAUAAAUGUACACUCUACUUCCCUUAAUUUAAGAUUUAAUUCACUUGAAGAGUUCACCUUUUUGAAAAACUGUCAUUGCUCAAUUUAUUUACCUUGUACAGUGUGAGAGAUACUUUAGUGAAGAAAUUAAACAGUUGCUAAAUUUAGGUGAUAGCUAAUAAAUACUAUACUACUUUCCCAAUCCUUGUUAUUGGUAUGUAACAUGCAACAGCAUUUUAGUAUUCAGUCAAUUACACAAGCUAACUCAUUUCACUACUGAAAGAUGGGCGAGGAAGAUGAUCAUCAAAUGGAACAGUUCUAAUGCUGCAGGCACAAUGAAUUUCCUAGAUUGGUUCUGAGGCUAUCUUAGCCCAUCCUUGAUACAAUGGACCCUUCUGAUCUUAAAGAGUGACUUUUUUUAAGACAGAGAGAGAUGUUAUUGAAAGAAUAUUUAUUCCAUUUCCCCAUUUUAAAGGGAAAGGCUUUUUGUAGCAUGAAAACAAUUAGGACUAUGCAAUUAUUUGAAAUAGCAUAUGGAGACAACCAAAAGAAGCUUUUGAAGCAGUGCCAUGAGGCUUAGCAAAUGACAUGAUUGGAUCUAACAGUUCAAAAAGAGGUGCAUUGCAUGGGUUUCUCUUUAUUGUCAAGCACUUCUUCUUCAAAACACUCUACAAAUAGGCAAUUUGUGUAUAUCUAUCUCUAUCUAUCUAUCUAUCCACACAAUAUAUAAGUCAUAUAUUAUUAUAUAUACAUGACAUGAAAGGACCGCUUGCCUGGAAAUGAUUGAUGGGUCCGAAAGCCCUUUCUGUCAGAUGGUCUGUCCUGUUGACUAGAAAAUGAUCUCUGGGACUGGUGGUACUCAGGUACUGGAUCAGAGGCCUGAAAGGGCUGUCUCUGGAAAUAGGGAGCUGGGCGAUGUUUCCGCUGCCUGAAGGAGGUAAGCAUGCCCUUGCCUUUGCCCUUGGUGUCAAUAAGGAUGGGCUCCAAUGUCUCCCUGAACAACUUACUACCCAUAAAGAGAGCAGUUACCAGCUUCCAUUUAUUUUUAUUGUCGGCUUGCCAAUGGCGAAGCCAUAGAAAGUGAUGGGUUGUCACGGUAGAAGCGAUGGACCGAGAUGCAAACUUUGCAGCAUUCAGGGUAGCAUCAGCAGAAUAUUCAGAGGCAGCCACCAACUUAUUGAUGUCCUGGUGAAACCGGACAUUGUCUGGGGGCACUCUUACCUGCAGCUGACGGAGUCAGAGCGGAAGGCUCAGUUAAAAAAAGAAGCAGAGGUGGCGGCCUUUAUCACCCAGGUCGCUGCUUCGUGCACCUUGCGGGGGCUCAAUUCUGCCUUUCUAUCUUCAGUCUUAAGGCAGUCCAUGGCAUCAGUGGGAAGAGGGCAGCAGAAUGUAACUGUUGUGUCUGCGGGCCCCAAGCCGGGCUUCCUGGCAGAGAGUGACUCGGAGAGUCAGGGGGAAGAGCCGACAGGGCUUCCCUCUGCAGAAACUUCCUCUCUGGCUCCGCUCCAGAUUCCAGAGGCAGGCCAGGUGGAGGAAGAGGAGCUAACACGGCCUCUUUCCCCUGAUCCCUCCUUCCCCCUGGCAACGCCCUAAGAGCCAGCUGAGGAGGAUCAAUCGUGGCUAGAUGCAAGGCAGCGACGCCGAGUGAAGCGUGCACAGCAAAAGAAAGGAAGGGGCCGGCCCAGGGCGUGCUGAGUUAUGGAGCCACAUCCCACAGGGUAUAAAAGUGGGUGGAGCUGCCUUUGGGCUCCGUGACAGACAAAAACUGACUUUUGGAAACUUCGGCUGCUUUAUUGCGAGACUCAGGAAUUGGCUUUUCGGACUUCUGUUCACUUCUGAACUCUGGGUUGCUCCAGCAAAAGACCGCAGUAGCAUUGCAGAGAUAAGGAGGACUUGGCAGGCAAUCGCAGGUUCGUUGCCAGAGCUGAUAUCUGUAGGAAGAAUAAAUUGCUGGCAAAUACAGUCAGCUCGUGUGUCUUCUGGGGGGUGGUUGAGGGGGGCAGAACAGUAACACUGCCACCGGGCCAUCUACCUCUGGUAUUUUCAGAACCUGUGACAGGUCUGUAGCCACAUUAUGCAGCUUUCUCUCCAUCCCAGUUGGAGGAGGCCCUGACCCGGGCUGGGCCCACUGUCUUUGGACAACAUCCAAGAAGAGCUUGGGUGAUGUAAUUACUUCCUGCUCCGCGGUUGGCUCCAAAAAGAGCAUACAACUGGAGUCCCUUGUACUGGGAGCUGGCUCAGGCAAUGGGUCAGGUCCUAUGUUGGUGAUGGCCUUGGCCUUGUGAAGCAAGGAGUGAAACAAGUCAAGCUGAGUCCCCUCCGUGAUCUGCGGGCAGCACCAAGGGUCUGACAAAGCAAGACCCACCUCCAGGAGGCUGGCAGGGACCUUGGCUGAGCCAGCUGGAUAGACGGCGGAGCAGCAGACCACUCAGCUGCCGGACUCGCAAUCCACAACUGUCAAAGAUCUUUAAGGCUGGUAGUGAAAGGAAAUCCAGGAGCUAAGUUGCAAUGGAGAAUUAAGAAAAGCAGUCUUGUUUGGCUGAAGACUGAGCUGAACUGGGGACUAGCCAGGCAAGAAGGCGUUGCCAAAAAUGAUGACAUGCUCAGUCUCCAGGCAAAAGAGAGAGAGCAACACCUAUUCCUGCAUUCCCUCCACCCAGCACCAUGGAUAAACUGUUUGGACAAGCCUUGCUGACUGUGAAUGAAAGUAAUUCACAGUUGUGUAAAUAAAAGAGGUUUUGCCGGGACCAAGACUCUGCUUCCUGCUUUUUAAGGGAGCCUAAAGAUCAGAACAAUUGCAGCUUUAGCCAUGUAUAGGAAAUCUUUGCUGGAGAAGUUGGGUUGAAAAGGAGACCACCAAGGCAGUGAGGUACUGGCUCAAAAGAAAAAAAGUUGGUGCAGGGAACCAGCGAAGGUAAGUGGGUAAAUGAAUGCUUGCUGCUGCUUGCUGAGGCUUCUCAAGACAUAGCAAGCAGCUGCAGAACUGUACGGUUCUGAGGCUGUUUGCUUCCCUUGCAAGGCCAAAUAUAGGGAAGUCAAAAGGACAGAGAUGGCGGCAUGGUAAUAGUAAGGAGUGAGAAACUCAAGUGCCCCUAAGGUCUUACGAGUGGACAUGCUGCCAAGUGUCUGAAUUUGAAUCACAGGAUUGUGGAGGUGCUACAAAGACCAUAAUUUUGGACACACAUUGUAAGUCUGUUCUUGAAUGGUUGCUGAAUGAAUGGUCAUAAGUUGAGGAUCAUGAAACAAAGACUACCUAUUUAUACCAUAACUGAGGUAUCAGAAACAUAUUAUUUUUGAGAUGAGAAUGAAACAUCAAAUAUUGUUCUAGGAUUCACUAUUAGUUGCUAAAGGGCUUCCCCUUCUAAUUCAUGAAGGGGAAAAAGCUCCAGGAGUUCAAUGGUGAUGGAUAAGAUAUUUCAUGUGAUGAAAGCACUUUCUGUCAAUUUUCACGCAGAGCAGAAUGUGUACAGAUUUUGCCUUAAAUUCUUCAUUAUACAGAGAUGAGCUCUGAGCCCAACACUUCAAAGCAACUAGAAAAAGGUUUAUAAAAGUUAUAAAGGAGCAAUAUAGUUUGAUUAUACCUUAAUAUAGCAGGAAUGAUAGAAUUAUAAAUAUAAAUCUAUGGAAUGAUUGGAAUAAGAACCAAAUUGUUAUUCCAGUUCUGAGGCUGUGAAUAUUGCUUUCCCUCCUUACUAAUCCCCGUAAAGCUGAAAAACUUUUCUGACUUAUAAUUUGCAUCUUCCCAAAGCAAAGGCAAACUUGGCUUUCUGUUGGAAAAGAGAUGAUGGUUCAUUGAAUAAUCUGACAUGUAUUUGUGCUUUCUUAAAGAUUAGUUUGAUAUUUAAAAAUAAUCCAAAGUCCUAGCCACUUUGAACAUAUUUAUACAGCAUUAAACCACUCACCUAUUCAAAGUCCUGUAUUGAACAGGAUAAAUUCUACCCCAAAAGAGCAAAAGAAAACAUAAACUUGACCUGUUAAUUUAAAUGGGCAGGCAUAUCAUAGUACACAAAGAUCAAACUUUGAGACCACACACACACAAACACAUUCCUUCAGAAGGUAAAAAGGUUUAGAAGUCUGUGUUUGCAGACUUGGCUAAAACAAGAGAAGGAAACAUUGGGAUGCUGAAGCUGCUGUCCUGUUAAUUAUACAGAGUUUUCUAUCACUUCCUACAUCUACCCCAUUUGUGAAAUGCAUGACUUGAAGAUAUAUCCGAAACAUACAUAGCAAAUCUUUUCCUGUUCUGUUUGUCAUAUAUCCUAUGUCCCAGUUUUAGUUUUGGAAAACUACUUCCUCCAUUGUGUUUCCACUGUAAAUUCAGCCCAAGGAAAUGGAACAAGGGAGAGGAGAGAGAAAAACAGAAAGAAUAAUUCUGGUUGCAAUCAUAACCACUCUUAAAAUGAUUGCAACUUCUAUGCAUAUCAAAGCUUUACUGAAACUGCUUAUUUGCUGUGCAACUCAGGGGAAACUAAAAUCAACUUUCCAUGCUUUAUUAUUCUUGCCCUCAUCUGAUAUAAAAAUAAUCAGUUUUUUGUUUGAUAUUUUCAGAGCAAUUUGUCUAGAAGAAAUUAUACAGAAAAGUUGUUAAUCAUUUCCUGUGAUUAAACAGACGGAUUGAAAACGAAUUGAUAUAUGUUUAACCCACACUGAAAACGUUUAGAGAUUUUUAAAAAUGUUCUUUGAAAAAAAAAAACCACAUGCAUGCACACAGUUUUAUGAUGUAACAAGAGCUUGUUGAAACAAUAGCUUUUUUUUGUAGCCGUAUACCCUAGAAAUCGAAACCAUAAGGUAAUUACCAAAGGGAAUGGGAAUCCUUUGUAAUAUCCCUCAGAUCUUUCCGGUUAUUGCUCUCUCAACAAGACUGCUGAGCUAGUGACCUAUUUGGCGGAUAUAGAAACCCAAGCAUUAUAACGUUGGAGUGCUCUAAUAUAGAAAGCAGAUUUUUCCUGGGGAGGCUUCAAGGUCCCUAAACUGGCAAUAGCUCCAUAAACAGAGGGGGAAAUGUGUAAAGGGGCCUGAUGGAGAGGAGGGGAAAAGGUCCAACAUAUAAUUUUUUCCCUUUUGAGCUGCCAACCUGAGCAGUUAGGGAGUUUUACUUCUCCGUGGGAAGUAGAAAGAAUGAGCCAAAAAGCUUGACAAUUGGAAAGGGCCAGGAAUGAAAACGAAGGGAGAAAUUAAAACCAAGUAAUGAAGUUUCCAGUUAGCCCUUUCCAACCCAAAUCUGGAAAGCAAAGAGGAAAAAUGAUAAUGGGCUGCCACUUUAUAUAGAAAAGGUUUCAAGUUCUACACAAAACUGAUCUUGAGUUGCAUCUGUCUUUCUUUAAAUGAGAGUCAAACCUUUGUUUGUUUUGGAGAUAGACUAAUUUUCUGUUUAUGGAAAUGAAUUUCAGAAGAUGUGAAUCAUUGUUAUGUAGAAUUGAUCAGGAAUCUUUCUUAGCCCUACCUAGAAACGCCAGAAUUGAAUAGAAAUUUUUGCAUGCAAAGCAUAUGCCAAUACUUUUUGUUAGAUUGGAGCCAAUUCAAAAAAUCGAUUAUAUUUUGCUUUCAGGGUUGCACACACUGCUACUUUGCCAACCCUAAUAAUGACUGUAUGGACAAAGUGCUGCUCCCAGCUCUCAAUUUCAUAAUAGCUUACUAUGUUUUAUUUUAAUUCAUUCUAAUUCAUUCUCAAUGCUACAUGAAGAGGCUGGGUUAAUACUCCAGUAUUUAAAUCUGAGAAUUUUUAAUGAAUAUAUUGUAUAUUGCUUAUAUGUAUAUAAUAUCUUGUAUUUUUUUCCAGGAAGGAAUCUUACAAAUUUUCGUAACUAGAAAUUCAUAUGGAGACAAGGACUAAUGUGUCCUGUUUAUCAUACUAAACUGUAGGUAAGGCCAGGUAGUCCUUGACUUAAAAGAGUUCAUUUAGUGACCAUUUGAAGUUACAGCAGCAUUGAAAAAAAUGACUUAUGAUAAUUUUUCAUACUUAUGACCAUUGCAUCAUUCUGAUGGUCACAUGAACAAAAUUUGGACACUUGGCAACUGACUGAUAUUUAUGAUGGUUGCAGUAUCCCAGGGUGAUGUGAUUUGCAACCUUCCAACAAGCAAAGUCAAUGGGGAAGCCAGAUUCAUUUAACAACCGUGUUACUAGCUUAUCAACAGCAGUGAUUUUAACAACUGUGGCAAGAAAGGUCGUAAAAUGGGGCAAAGCUUAAUAACUGUCUCACUUAGCAACAGAAACGUUGGGCUCUGUUGUGGUCCUAAGUCGAGGACUACUUGUAAUUGGCUCAGCUUAUAGCUUUAUCCAUUAUUUAUCCAUUCAAUAAAACUGUUAAAACAAUAUGGCUCUUCACCGAACACCUUAGUCUCCAUGGGACUAUAGUAUGUGGUAAAAGCACUGUGGUUUAUAAAGACAACUUGCUUGUAAAUAUUUCAGAAACGUUACCUUUGUGCCAUUGGUACUUUGGGCAGGUUUCAUCCCACAAGUGAUACCAGAAGUUGAAUUUUAGGACCAAACUUUGGGCAAAUCAACUUGUAAAAGAAAUCCACAUAAUGUCAGUUCGUAAGAAGUUAACGUACAUAACACCAGAUCACUUUUAUUAAAAAUAUAUGUUCAUGCUCAGUAGUAGAGGUAUAAUUCUAACAUAUACCCAUAAACUAUGUGGGAAUUUUUUCUUCAGUGUUAUUUAUAUUUGUUCCCUUUCCACAUUUUAUAUUAAUAUCGUGUGUUUUCCCGAAAAUAAGACCCUGUCUUAUAUUUUUUUGAACCCUGAAAUAAGCGCUUGGUCUUAUUGCCAUGCACUCAAAAGCCUGAUUAGGCUUAUUAUCAGGGGGUGUCUUAUUUUGGGAAAAACAGGGUAGAAGGGCCAUAUGAAGCACUAAAAAAGGUUAAAUGGUGAGAACAUUUCAUCUUGUGCAAAAACAGAGAAAACAAAGAAACAAAGAUUCCUAAAGCAGCUUUUCUUUGAUAAGAGUAACUGCUAUAAAUAGCAGCAAGCUACAUCUCAUUUACUUUGCAGUCAUGACUACAGUGGUAGAAAGCAGGAGAUAUAACAUGCUAUUUGCAAAAAGUACAACUUCAAAUACCUAAGCUGAUAUAUAUUAAUUUUAUGAGACAUUGUUAGUCAUAGUCUAAAGCAAUUAUCCAAAAGCAUCAGUAUAAAAAGCAUUAAACACAAUCCCAGUGUAUCUUUUCAUGACUAUGCUUAAAGAGACAAAAUCACCAAUUGUGCUGAACUGAUACAAACAAAAAUCAAGAGAGCAGAAUAAAUAUCUGGCACUGCAAAACAGACACAUUAUUAGCAAUUGGGCAGGCCAAAAUACCUGCCUAUUUAUGUUCAGAAAGGUUGAUCAAAUGCAGUCUGUCCAUAUUUGAAAUAAGAUUUUCUCUUGAACCAGUUUUAAAUAAAAAGCAUUGAUGAAAUAUAGUGUCAUGUUAAUUGCAACUACCGUAUAUACUCGAAUAUAAGCCGAUCCGAGUAUAAGCCGAGGUCCCCAAUUUUACCCCAAAAAACUGGGGUAAACUGGGGACUCGAGUAUAAGCCGAGGGUGGGAAAUGAGGCAGCUACCGGUCGGGGAAACCCUCCCUCCCUCAGCCGAGAAGGCUGGCGGCUCCCCCGCCCCGCCCUCUCACUGCACCGGCAGGGCUUCCCCGCGCUAAUGCAAAAGCCCGCCAAGUUUGCACCAUCCGGUAUAAUGUGAAAAAAAGAAGAAAAAAAAAAACUCGAGUAUAAGCCGUAUAUACUCGAGUAUAAGCCGAGGGGACG